UCUCCCCCGAUUCGAUUCAGUGCCCGCUUUGCCACAGAUGAAGUACUCGACAAGCAUACCAUACCGUCGUGUCGUAGAAGGUAUCAACUGGAUCCGGCAGAAUUGAUAUUUGAAUCGGGUCAUUUGGCAAUGUUCACCUUUUUUUGGUUUUUCUGUCUCUGAAUCGUACUCUAGUGUCAAAAGACGAUGAGAUUAUCUACUUUAAGACAUACAUACAUGUAUAUAGAUAGGAUUAAUUCUUGGAAACUUCUGACAUUUGGUACAUUGUUGAAACGCUCGAGGGCAGACAAGACAAGCAUCGUGUUCUCUUGUUUGCGCAAAUGGCGAAAAUGCUGAAUAUUCUUGAGGUAAUUAGUCACUACAAAGUAAAUUCAAGAAUGGUGUGUGUGAGAUCAUGUCAGUCAGCAGCAUAAGGUGGUGAUGCCUUGUUUAUGUGCGGAUGUUAAGGAAAUCAAAUGCUUAUUUAGGGGUCAUAUUUUACCAAAGUGAUUGGAACCCAACACUGAGACUACAAGCAAUGAAUCGAUCAUAGAGCCAUCGGUUGGGUCGCGCAAAAGCUCUAAGUUUUGUUUGCCAAAUCCAUUCCAACCCUAGACUUCCUGGUUUCUUUAGAGCCAUUUGUUUGUGUGCUUCUUUGGAGACCCCAUGCUUGUAUGGUAUCUCUCUUGUUCCCUCUAGUCAUUUAAACAAACAGUUGAAGAGAAGAUUCUGCAAAGAGCUAGUCAGAAAAAUGCUGCCUCUAUUCAGGUUAAGGGUAGACAAAAGAAGAAACAAACAAAGGGUAUACGGGUCGAUACAGAAGGCAAUGCCUCAUUAAAUGAUCUAACAAACCCUGCAUCUGCACCUCAAGGUACUGGACAUGAAGGAUUCUUUAGCUGCAACUGGCGCAAAAACUCAAAGGUCGAAGAAUCUACAAAGCAUGGACGAACCGGAUAGCUAUGAUUUGAAUGAUGCCUUACAAAAUACUGAUCAACAAGCUACGAAACCCAAGAGGCCUAAGAGGCAUGUGAACGAAAAAUCUUGAUCCGGCAUACUGCCACACUUGGUGUGGUUCCAGAGCAAACCCAAUAUCCACCAUGGAAUUAGUCUGGAUCUGAUGGUUUCAAAGCAGAACCAAACCUGGGAAAAAGGUCUAAAUCAGAAGGUUCUUUUCAUGAUUCUUGAUAAUAUCAUCAUGUAAUGGAGAAGACUCUUUCCGGUUCAGAAAAUGUUAGGCAGUGGCAGGCCAAAGGACAAGGUCAUCACUGUAUGUGAAAUUUGGGGAAUGGUGUGUGGCGGAUUUUCUGUUUGACACUAUGGUUGAGAGAUUUUAUUGCUU
RNAcentral lists this small RNA (1318 nucleotides) under Malus domestica (apple). Its description in RNAcentral is "sRNA MD12G0066100". Lineage: Eukaryota; Viridiplantae; Streptophyta; Magnoliopsida; Rosales; Rosaceae. The record is from RNAcentral.